This is a long non-coding RNA of Triticum aestivum (bread wheat), 431 nucleotides long. RefSeq lists it as uncharacterized. The record is from RefSeq and is a predicted model, not a curated record. The transcript is spliced from 3 exons. NCBI's taxonomy places the organism in Eukaryota, Viridiplantae, Streptophyta, Magnoliopsida, Poales, Poaceae.
AUGUGGUUAAAUUGGUCGUCAACCAAGCCCGUUUAUGUUAGGACAUGUGGGUCCAACUUAAUUGCUCCUCAAAACAGCUGACCGUGCCCUGCCGCCCGACCGUGCCGGACCCGCCACUCUGCCCCCUCCCCCCUUCUUCUCCGGUGGCGGCGGAUCUUGCGUUCUCAACGGCGGCGGCGGAGCCCUCGUUCUCAACGGCGGCGGAGCCUUCGUCCUCAAAAAAUGGUUGUGAGGGGAGCCCGUGGGCAUACUGAGAUGGAGCCCCCAGAUUCAACUUCGAAUAGAGGGGAUGCUGCCGCUCGGACCUUCGAAUUGACGGUCAAUUUCUUUCCAUCAAAGGCAAAAUUAGUUGAUGGUAGCAUUCAGAACAUUGAGAGAGACACAAUUGUUAAAUGGGAGGUUGAGUUUACAGAGAUUGAUCCACAAGUUCU